AAUCAACGCUGGCGGCGUGCCUAACACAUGCAAGUCGAACGCGAAAGCCCCGCAAGGGGUAAGUAGAGUGGCAAACGGGUGAGUAACACGUGGGUGACCUGCCUUCGAGUGGGGGAUAACGUCCCGAAAGGGACGCUAAUACCGCAUGACAUCCUGCUUUUGAAAAAGCGGAGAUCAAAGCUGGGGAUCGCAAGACCUAGCGCUUGAAGAGGGGCCCGCGCCUGAUUAGCUAGUUGGUGGGGUAACGGCUCACCAAGGCGACGAUCAGUAUCCGGCCUGAGAGGGCGGACGGACACACUGGGACUGAGACACGGCCCAGACUCCUACGGGAGGCAGCAGUGGGGAAUUGUUCGCAAUGGGCGCAAGCCUGACGACGCAACGCCGCGUGGAGGACGAAGAUCUUCGGGUCGUAAACUCCUGUCGAGCGGGACGAACGCUUCGCGGAUGAAUAAUCCGCGGAAUUGACGGUACCGCUAAAGGAAGCCCCGGCUAACUCCGUG
Molecule: ribosomal RNA, 500 nt
Filed under: uncultured bacterium
Lineage: Bacteria
Description: partial 16S ribosomal RNA
Rfam family: Bacterial small subunit ribosomal RNA
Source: RNAcentral